GUGGGGAAUCUUGCGCAAUGGGCGAAAGCCUGACGCAGCCAUGCCGCGUGAAUGAUGAAGGUCUUAGGAUUGUAAAAUUCUUUCACCGGGGACGAUAAUGACGGUACCCGGAGAAGAAGCCCCGGCUAACUUCGUGCCAGCAGCCGCGGUAAUACGAAGGGGGCUAGCGUUGCUCGGAAUUACUGGGCGUAAAGGGCGCGUAGGCGGAUCGUUAAGUCAGGGGUGAAAUCCCAGAGCUCAACUCUGGAACUGCCCUUGAUACUGGCGAGCUUGAGUGUGAGAGAGGUAUGUGGAACUCCGAGUGUAGAGGUGAAAUUCGUAGAUAUUCGGAAGAACACCAGUGGCGAAGGCGACAUACUGGCUCAUUACUGACGCUGAGGCGCGAAAGCGUGGGGAGCAAACAGGAUUAGAUACCCCGGUAGUCC
RNAcentral lists this ribosomal RNA (425 nucleotides) under uncultured bacterium. Its description in RNAcentral is "partial 16S ribosomal RNA". It matches the Rfam family "Bacterial small subunit ribosomal RNA", at positions 354 to 796 of the family's 1533-position model. The record is from RNAcentral.